Morus notabilis is the source of this 2612-nucleotide RNA transcript. It is a transcript of the gene named phosphomethylpyrimidine synthase, chloroplastic, with no coding region annotated. The transcript has 7 exons. Lineage: Eukaryota; Viridiplantae; Streptophyta; Magnoliopsida; Rosales; Moraceae. The record is from RefSeq and is a predicted model, not a curated record.
UCUUUCACUCUUCUUCAAGCACUUGUCACUCAACGACUCAACGUUUCACUGAGAGAGCGUAAGCGAAGAUAAGACUCAGUCCUUUCUGUACCAGAUAUGGCAUCUGUUCAUAGUACCCUGACACCGGCUGUGUUCAAAAAUGGAAAUCACUCAUCUCCGCCAAAGUUCCCAAGUACUGCCUUCUUGCCUGGCUUUGAUUUUGUGGGACGUGUUUCAAGUCCAUACAAAAAGGAAACAUGCACCACUCCCAUGAGCUCAGGCCCCAGAGCCACGUUAACCUUUGAUCCCCCGACAACCAACGCCGAAAAUGUCAAACAAAGGAAGCACACAGUGGAUCCUGCUUCGCCUGAUUUUCUGCCACUUCCAUCCUUUGAACAAUGUUUUCCAAGGAGCACGAAAGAACAAAGGGAAGUUUUUCAUGAACAGUCUGGUCAUGUACUCAAAGUUCCAUUUCGACGAGUCCAUCUAUCUGGAGAUGAACCACAUUUUGACACCUAUGAUACCACUGGUCCUCAAAACAUUAACCCACGCCUUGGCCUCCCUAAACUGCGCAAAGAUUGGAUUGACCGACGGGAAAAAUUGGGUGCACCAAGAUACACACAGAUGUACUAUGCUAAGCAAGGCAUCAUAACUGAGGAAAUGUUGUACUGUGCCACUCGGGAGAAGCUUGAUCCUGAGUUUGUGAGGUCAGAAGUUGCUCGUGGACGAGCAAUCAUCCCUUCCAACAAGAAGCACUUGGAGCUGGAGCCGAUGAUAGUUGGAAGAAACUUUUUGGUCAAAGUUAAUGCAAAUAUUGGUAAUUCUGCGGUUGCAAGCUCUAUCGAGGAGGAAGUGUACAAGGUCCAGUGGGCAACCAUGUGGGGUGCCGACACCGUCAUGGAUCUCUCCACAGGUCGCCAUAUCCAUGAGACCCGUGAGUGGAUCCUAAGGAACUCUUCUGUACCAGUAGGGACUGUACCAAUUUAUCAAGCACUUGAAAAAGUGAAUGGAAUAGCGGAAAAUCUUAACUGGGAAGUGUUCAGAGACACCCUGAUUGAACAAGCUGAGCAGGGUGUUGAUUACUUCACCAUCCAUGCUGGAGUUCUACUUCGUUACAUCCCAUUAACUGCAAAGCGUAUGACAGGAAUUGUCUCACGUGGAGGUUCCAUCCAUGCGAAAUGGUGUCUAGCUUACCACAAAGAGAACUUCGCUUAUGAGCAUUGGGAUGAAAUACUUGAUAUCUGUAAUCAGUAUGACGUGGCCUUGUCAAUAGGUGAUGGGCUGAGACCUGGGUCCAUUUAUGAUGCCAAUGACACUGCUCAAUUUGCAGAGCUUCUAACUCAGGGAGAACUGACCCGCGGAGCAUGGGAAAAGGAUGUUCAGGUAAUGAACGAAGGGCCCGGUCAUAUUCCAAUGCAUAAGAUUCCUGAAAACAUGCAGAAACAGCUGGAGUGGUGUAAUGAAGCACCUUUCUACACUCUAGGUCCUUUGACAACGGACAUUGCUCCUGGAUAUGAUCACAUUACCUCUGCCAUCGGUGCGGCCAAUAUUGGAGCCCUGGGCACAGCACUUCUCUGUUAUGUGACUCCCAAAGAGCACCUUGGGUUGCCAAACCGAGAUGAUGUCAAGGCUGGAGUUAUAGCAUAUAAGAUUUCUGCUCAUGCAGCUGAUCUAGCCAAAGUUCACCCACAUGCUCAAGCCUGGGACGAUGCAUUGAGCAAGGCAAGAUUUGAGUUCCGGUGGUUGGACCAGUUUGCGUUGUCACUUGAUCCAAUGACUGCUAUGUCCUUCCAUGAUGAGACCUUGCCAUCAGAAGGUGCUAAGGUAGCACAUUUCUGCUCUAUGUGUGGGCCAAAGUUCUGCUCUAUGAAGAUAACAGAGGAUGUGCGGAAGUAUGCGGAGGAGCAUGGCUAUGGGACUGAAGAAGCAGUGCAGCGUGGAAUGGAUGCUAUGAGUGCUGAGUUUUUGUCUGCUAAGAAAACUAUUAGUGGGGAACAACAUGGUGAAGUUGGUGGAGAAAUCUACUUACCAACGAGUUAUGUGAACAAUUUAGAGAGGAACAUAUGAAACUGAGCAGGAAAACCUUGACAACAUUGGACCAAAUAAGAGCAUCUUUGGCAUAUCGAGAUUGUUAUACUGGGUGUUUUAGUUUUCAUGCUAUGGGGUGCCUGUGCUCUGCUUUGCACCGGCAUAUUGGCCGGAACGCAGGCAGGCCAGGCUGAGACAGUCCCUUUGAACCUGAACAGGAUAAUGCCUGCGUAGGGAGUGUGCAUUUCUCUUCCUGUUUUGUUGUGUGUGCUUGCACAGGGAGAGAGCUUUUGAUCUAUGCUCCAGGCUACCAGAUAGUUUGUGUUACGGCCACCUAUGUCUGUCUAUAUUGGCUACUUAGUAAUGAGCCGGCAAAUUCUUCGAUUCUUCUGUGCUUUAAGAGUAAGAAGCUCUACUAAAACAGGAAAGAUGAAAUGUCCCGACUCUAUGAUUGUCUUUGUUUCUUUUUUAUCUUCUCCAAGUUGGCAUUAAUUCUGACGGAUAUACCUGGACUGGAUACUAACGCGGAUAUUAAAAGCAUUUAACAGUCCAAAAUAAAAUGAAAUUGAUUUUGCUAGAAGGAUUUGUUGGAGAGAGAUGCUUGC